GAGGAGAGACAGAGAGGAAGAUCUUCCAUCCAACGGUUCACUCCUCAAGCUUCUGCAACAGCUGGAGGAUGCUUCCAGAGUUCUCCAUGUGUUUCCAAGAAGAGCGAAAAAUGUACACGUCUCUGGUGUAGCCCUGUAGCCCACCACAUACUUCCAAGACAUGCUUUCAAAC
Molecule: long non-coding RNA, 172 nt
Organism: Ochotona princeps (American pika)
Lineage: Eukaryota; Metazoa; Chordata; Mammalia; Lagomorpha; Ochotonidae
Exons: 3
Source: RefSeq, a predicted model, not a curated record